CGGGGGGCAGCAGUCGAGAAUCUUCGGCAAUGGGCGCAAGCCUGACCGAGCGACGCCGCGUGGAGGAUGAAGGCCUUCGGGUUGUAAACUCCUGUCGAGGGGGAAGAAGGGUCGAAAGACCUUGACUGAUCCCUGGAGGAAGCACGGGCUAAGUUCGUGCCAGCAGCCGCGGUAAGACGAACCGUGCGAACGUUAUUCGGAAUCACUGGGCUUAAAGCGCGUGUAGGCGGGAUGGUACGUCGACUGCUGAAAUCCCCCGGCUUAACCGGGGAACGGGCAUCGAUACGGCCAUCCUGGAGGAACGUAGGGGGACCUGGAACUUCCGGUGGAGCGGUGAAAUGCGUUGAGAUCGGAAGGAACGCCCGUGGCGAAAGCGAGGUCCUGGACGUUUUCUGACGCUGAGACGCGAAAGCUAGGGGAGCGAACGGGAUUAGAUACCCCGGU
Molecule: ribosomal RNA, 444 nt
Filed under: uncultured Isosphaeraceae bacterium
Lineage: Bacteria; Pseudomonadati; Planctomycetota; Planctomycetia; Isosphaerales; Isosphaeraceae
Description: bacterial SSU rRNA
Rfam family: Bacterial small subunit ribosomal RNA
Source: RNAcentral